RNAcentral lists this ribosomal RNA (433 nucleotides) under uncultured bacterium. RNAcentral describes it as "partial 16S ribosomal RNA". It matches the Rfam family "Bacterial small subunit ribosomal RNA", at positions 29 to 507 of the family's 1533-position model. The record is from RNAcentral.
AACGAACGCUGGCGGCAGGCCUAACACAUGCAAGUCGAGCGAGGACUUCGGUUCUAGCGGCGGACGGGUGAGUAACGCGUGGGAAUGUGCCCUUCUCUACGAAAUAGCCCUGGGAAACUGGGAGUAAUACCGUAUACGCCCUAUUGGGGAAAGAUUUAUCGGAGAAGGAUCAGCCCGCGUUGGAUUAGGUAGUUGGUGGGGUAAUGGCCUACCAAGCCGACGAUCCAUAGCUGGUUUGAGAGGAUGAUCAGCCACACUGGGACUGAGACACGGCCCAGACUCCUACGGGAGGCAGCAGUGGGGAAUCUUAGACAAUGGGGGCAACCCUGAUCUAGCCAUGCCGCGUGAGUGAUGAAGGCCUUAGGGUUGUAAAGCUCUUUCAGCUGGGAAGAUAAUGACGGUACCAGCAGAAGAAGCCCCGGCUAACUCCGUG